CGUUCCCCAUUUAUGUCUCACGUUCAUUGCUUAAAUUUCCGUAUUGUAGCGUAAAACGAAUAUCAAUUACAGUUUGGUUAAAUGAUUCCGUGAGACAUACGCGCGCAAUACUGAAAGAAUAACUCAAGUCGUAUUUUUGUAAAACCUGGAAAGAUGUCUUAAAAGCUUCGCCUUGUCGGACGAGACAUAAGUAAAGCCGAAACAGCUGCACAGGGAGACCGACUUCAUUGUUUAUUUCCUCGUUGCUUUUAAAUGGGGUAAAGAGAAUGGGCAGUCAGCAUCAAUAAUGCCUUUGAGCGAAUUUUCUGGUUGCAUCUGACACAUGACAGAGACUAUUGUUGUUAUUUUAAAAGAUGUCAACCCAGAUGCUGUAUUUGUCAUGACUGCAAAAACUUUUGAUGAGGUUUUUCCUCUGACGUCAUGAAUAUAAACAUUCACGUUCCAGAGUAGUAAUGACGUAAUCUUGUCAUUGGACGAAUUUAGUAUACCCGAUCUAAUUCUUCAAAGUGUCGAAAAAACUAAGUCAUCGCUAAGGUGAGGGCGUAGAUGAAUUUUUGCUAUUUUUUUAGGUAGCCCACAUUGAAAAUUUAAAAAUAAAACGGGAGGGGAAUGGCCCAGUAGUGUGAGCACUCGCCUCCCACCGCUGGCCUGGGUUCGAUUCCCAGACUUGGCGUCACAUAUAGGAUGAGUUUGCUGUUGGUUCCCGUUCUCAUUCCGAGGGUUUCUCCCCGGGUUCUCCAGUUUUUCUCCCUCCACAAAAACCAAAAUUAUAAAUUCCAAUUAGACCUGGAAACAGAGGACAAAGUUAAAUUUUCACUAUUAGUAAUAGAACUAUUACUAUUAUUAUAAAACUGAACGGCCAGUAUUUCGGCACACGCAUGAAAGUUAAAUUUAUUUAUUAUUACUAACAAUGAUUAUCAUUAUCAUUUUUAUUAUUAUCGUCAUUAUGAUUAUUAUUGAAUGCGAUACGAAAGCAAUUUUGAAUAUAUUAGUCACUUCUUCCUACAGGAAAAAAAUUGUCUUUGAGGAGAAACUUAAUUUUCUUCACUUGCAGCAGACAAAAAGGAAAAAAAAACGAAAUAAAAGAUGCCUUUUAAAAGUUCGAGAAUCUCACUCACUGAUUCGAGACUAAGAAUCAUAUGUUUCUUUAAAUUGGAAUUAAAAAUUACAUUCAGAUCCAAGGCUUCGCGCUUAAAAUAGAGGGAUUGGACAUAUUUUUGAAAUUAGCUUGAAAUAAUAAAAAACAAUAAGACAAUAUUGCCUCGAAUGAAAUAAUAUAAAGUUGAUCGAUAAAUCAAUAAAAAAAACUACUAAUACAUAACAUGUCACUCUUCCCAACAUUGUGUUUGUCAUUAUAAAAUAUUCAAAAUCCCAGAAAUGUUUCCCAGCUGAGCAAUUACAACUCACCCACGACUCGCCACCUAUUAAUUAAUAUGUUAAUACAUUUCUAUUAUUUGAUAAGGUGGGAUAUUCUUCUUUUUAAUCCCUAGCUCUUUUAGCGAGUCUAAUUUCUAAAUCAAAGGUAAAGAUGGAGACGGCUGCAUAGAUCAAUCUAUGAUCUGUUUUACCUUAAUCUUCAAUCUUUUUCUCGAAAAUUUUAGUUAUCAUCGGUAUGUUAAUGACUAAAAGCUCGGUGACACAGUUGGCGAUUUUCGUAGAUCGUCAUAAACGGGUAGAUUAAAUUUUGCAUCGACAGCGAUUAUAUAUGUUGGCAUUCGCCUGGUGUAUUUGUUCCCCCGAUUUUCUAUUCACCGAAGCUGAGAACGCUGUUAAAACUUCUAGUUGCUUAGUGCUAGCCUAUAAGCUUAACCUAAGCCAAGUAACUCAUUGGAACAUGUGCAAGUGAAACAUAUAGGAGGAGGUGAUUGUUAUUAUAUUAUUUUUAAUAUUAUUAUUGUUAGUAUUAUUAUCAUUAUCAAUAUCUUCGUUAUAACUGUCUUUAGAUCUAUGAUUAUGGGAUUAAUAUUCAUGAACAGGGAAGUUAUUACUUCUUAUACUAAACACGGUAGAACCCUUAAGCAACAACGAAAUUUAAUGAAUCUAAUCUGAAAGUCAAAGACACAAUUGGAAAAGCUGUUCCAACCCAUCUAUCUGUACGCGGUAUGAACAGCACUUACAGUCUUACAAUCAACCUUACGCCGAGAAAAUAUGGAGUCCGAGAAGUUAUUUCCAACACAUGUCCUUCCCGCUUGCUCAUAAAUUUUUGAAACUAAUUUUAGUGCGUAAUCUUUUUUCUUUGUGUUGUACGUAUAAUUAUCACGAGUUCCAUUUGAUUAAAUACUUAAGAUGUUACUUGCA
This 2298-nucleotide long non-coding RNA is filed under the name Stylophora pistillata. RNAcentral's name for it is "uncharacterized LOC111328955". The record is from RNAcentral. Lineage: Eukaryota; Metazoa; Cnidaria; Anthozoa; Scleractinia; Pocilloporidae.